GAGUUUGAUCGUGGCUCAGGAUGAACGCUAGCUACAGGCUUAACACAUGCAAGUCGAGGGGCAGCAUGAACUUAGCUUGCUAAGUUUGAUGGCGACCGGCGCACGGGUGAGUAACACGUAUCCAACCUGCCGAUGACUCGGGGAUAGCCUUUCGAAAGAAAGAUUAAUACCCGAUGGCAUAGUUCUUCCGCAUGGUAGGACUAUUAAAGAAUUUCGGUCAUCGAUGGGGAUGCGUUCCAUUAGCUUGUUGGCGGGGUAACGGCCCACCAAGGCAUCGAUGGAUAGGGGUUCUGAGAGGAAGGUCCCCACAUUGGAACUGAGACACGGUCCAAACUCCUACGGGAGGCAGCAGUGAGGAAUAUUGGUCAAUGGGCGCUAGCCUGAACCAGCCAAGUAGCGUGAAGGAUGACUGCCCUAUGGGUUGUAAACUUCUUUUAUAUGGGAAUAAAGUGCAGUAUGUAUACUGCUUUGCAUGUACCUUAUGAAUAAGGAUCGGCUAACUCCGUGCCAG
Molecule: ribosomal RNA, 511 nt
Filed under: uncultured microorganism
Description: bacterial SSU rRNA
Rfam family: Bacterial small subunit ribosomal RNA
Source: RNAcentral